ACUGAGAUCUAAGCUUUUCAAUUUCCUCAAACCAUUAUACACCAAGGGUAAUAUCAAACUGCGAGCACAUUGAUGCUUUACCUUCCGCCCUCUUCUUUGUGAUAGGAUCUUGAGUUUUCCUAAGUUUUCAAUAGAAUCUGGGAGUUGACGAAUAGAAGUGUUGCCUGCAUAAAGCUCCUGCUAGUUUCCUGGUUCAAAAUCUGCUGGUUAAGAUGGAAAGCUGUAGUAUGACCAAUCAAGCCAUUUCAAGUAACUGGUAAAGAUCCAUGUAGUGUCUGCAAUUUUGGAAUCAUUUCUUCUUCAUUUUUGUGUUAUCAAUAUGCAUGGGGAUGUGUCCAGCAACUUUUUUGUUCUGCUGUGAAGUACUUCAUUGCCUUCUAAUUUUCUGGAUACACCUGUUCUCAAUGUUACAAAUGUUAUGAUUUGGAAACUUAUAAUUUAGA
RNAcentral lists this long non-coding RNA (443 nucleotides) under Capsicum annuum. RNAcentral describes it as "long non-coding RNA (CANN_LNC017031)". Lineage: Eukaryota; Viridiplantae; Streptophyta; Magnoliopsida; Solanales; Solanaceae. The record is from RNAcentral.